This 440-nucleotide long non-coding RNA is filed under the name Bos mutus (wild yak). RNAcentral describes it as "lncRNA (ENSBMUG00000001983.1)". Lineage: Eukaryota; Metazoa; Chordata; Mammalia; Artiodactyla; Bovidae. The record is from RNAcentral.
UCUGCAGGCCUCCAUCUGACUGUGCUCUCACCCCUUCUCUGCUGUCUCUCUGCAGGUGUCCCUCUGAAGAGUCCCUGAGCCUGCUUGCACCCCCUAGAGAUUAAAGGCUCCUUGCCCGCGACUGCCCCACAACGAUGCCUGUGACCUUGACUGCAGUGAUGCGGCACUCCACAGCCAUGUCCUGGUUGCACUGAGCCUGCCUCCUGCCAGCAUUUCGGGGCUCUGUCCCUGCCCAGCUCCUGGACCCACUCCCCAGCCUAUUCCUCACCCCAGCCUGCACCGAAGUGACUCCUCAAGCUUCAGGACUCAGUGGGGCACAGUGGCAGUCACGUGCAUGCUGGGACCGAGACGGACGGGCCGCCGCUCCCCCUGCCACGCCCCCGGCCCCCAGAGGCCCGGCUGUUUGCCUCCCGGAGCCGUCUGACCCAGGUAGGGGGAGA